RNAcentral lists this ribosomal RNA (509 nucleotides) under uncultured bacterium. RNAcentral describes it as "partial 16S ribosomal RNA". The record is from RNAcentral.
GGAGUUAGCCGGUGCUUCUUCUGUGAGUGAUGUCCUUCCUGCCGGCUAUUAACCCGCAGGCCUUCUUCCUCACUGAAAGUGCUUUACAACCCGAAGGCCUUCUUCACACACGCGGCAUGGCUGGAUCAGGGUUGCCCCCAUUGUCCAAUAUUCCCCACUGCUGCCUCCCGUAGGAGUCUGGGCCGUGUCUCAGUCCCAGUGUGGCUGAUCAUCCUCUCAGACCAGCUACGGAUCGUCGCCUUGGUGAGCCGUUACCUCACCAACCAGCUAAUCCGACAUAGGCUCAUCCGAUAGCGCGAGGCCCGAAGGUCCCCCGCUUUCCCCCGUAGGGCGUAUGCGGUAUUAGCCUGGGGUUUUCCCCCAGGUUAUCCCCACUACCGGGCAGAUUCCUAUGCAUUACUCACCCGUCCGCCGCUCGCCACCAGGGAGCAAGCUCCCCGUGCUGCCGCUCGACUUGCAUGUGUUAGGCCUGCCGCCAGCGUUCAAUCUGAGCCAGAAUCAAACUCUGA